Molecule: ribosomal RNA, 452 nt
Filed under: uncultured bacterium
Lineage: Bacteria
Description: partial 16S ribosomal RNA
Rfam family: Bacterial small subunit ribosomal RNA
Source: RNAcentral
UAGCCAGACUCCUACGGGAGGCAGCAGUGGGGAAUAUUGCACAAUGGGGGGAACCCUGAUGCAGCGACGCCGCGUGGGCGAGGAAGUAUUUCGGUAUGUAAAUCCCUAUCGGCAGGGAAGAAGAAAUGACGGUACCUGAAUAAGAAGCACCGGCUAAAUACGUGCCAGCAGCCGCGGUAAUACGUAUGGUGCAAGCGUUAUCCGGAUUUACUGGGCGUAAAGGGAGCGCAGGCGGCGCGCCAAGUCUGAAGUGAAAUGCCGGGGCUUAACCCCGGAACUGCUUUGGAAACUGAGCAGCUAGAGUGCAGGAGAGGUAAGUGGAAUUCCUAGUGUAGCGGUGAAAUGCGUAGAUAUUAGGAGGAACACCAGUGGCGAAGGCGGCUUACUGGACUGUAACUGACGUUGAGGCUCGAAAGCGUGGGGAGCAAACAGGAUUAGAUACCCGAGUAGUG